AUGGAAUUAUUAUAAGUAAUUAAAAUUGUUAUUCACGAAGUAAGAAGAGCUAACAACAACAAUUUAUUAGUAUUUAACUUUAACUGUUGCAAUAUUUAAUGUUGAAUUGUUUUUAGGGGUGAAAUUCCUACAAUUCUUACGAUAUCUUGAUUUUGCUAAAAUAUAUGUAGUAUAGUUUCAGGUUAAAAAUGAUAAGGUUUUUAAUGUACAUUAUACUUAAAUUUUAGAAAUCAAAUUGUCUAACCACACUUGAUUUAUGUAUUGUAACAUAAAUUAUUAGCGUUUAUAUGUUAAGUAAGUAAAUAUGUGUUAAAACCUUUAAGCAUAUUUAGAAUGUAAGUAUUAGUAAAGAAAGUAAUCUUAUUAGAGGAACUCGGCCAAUAAGUUUUUCGACUGUUUAUCAAAAACAUUGCUCCAUGAUAUUAUAUUGGGUUUACUCUGCUCAAUGAUUAAAUUAAAUAGCCGCAGUACCUUGACUGUGCAAAGGUAGCAUAAUCAAUUGGCUUUUAAUUGGAGUCUAGUAUGAAUGGGGUUUCGAGAAAUAACUAUCUUAAUUAUUUAAAUUGAAAUUACUUAAUAGGUGAAAAUACCUAUAUUUUGAAAUUAGACGAGAAGACCCUAGAAAUUUUUAUAUAUUAUUACUUACUAAUCUAUUUUGUUGGGGCGACAUAACAACAUAUAACUUGUCUAAUCUUUAUAUAACCUUAUUGUAUAUCUUAAUUAAAUUACUCUAGGGAUAACAGCACAAUUCAUUAGAGUUUGUGACCUCGAUGUUGGACUAGGUAAAUUGAUGUUUAGAAGAAGUUAAUUUAGGCUCUGUUCGAGCUAUUAUUACCUACAUGAUCUG
Molecule: ribosomal RNA, 847 nt
Filed under: Hygromia limbata
Lineage: Eukaryota; Metazoa; Mollusca; Gastropoda; Stylommatophora; Hygromiidae
Description: partial 16S ribosomal RNA
Source: RNAcentral